AACACUGACAUUAAUUAGCGCCGUUUGCAAAAUUCUAAAUUCUAAAAACUUAAACUCUAAAACCAUAAACCCUAAAUCCAAAACACUAAACCGUAAACCUCAAUCCUAAAAUCUAAACUCUAAAUGUUAAACCCUAAACUCAAACUCUACACAAUAAACCCUAAAUCUUAAAUUCUACACCCUAAAGCCUAAACCCAAAACUCUAAACCAUAAACCCUAAAUCCUAAAAUCUAAACUCUAAAUCCUAAACCCUAAACCCAAAACUUUAAAUCUUAAACCCAAACCCUAAAUCAUAAACCCUAAAUCCUAAACCCUAAAUCCC
Molecule: long non-coding RNA, 322 nt
Filed under: Brassica napus (rape)
Lineage: Eukaryota; Viridiplantae; Streptophyta; Magnoliopsida; Brassicales; Brassicaceae
Description: long non-coding RNA (BNAP_LNC016933)
Source: RNAcentral